Molecule: ribosomal RNA, 459 nt
Filed under: uncultured bacterium
Lineage: Bacteria
Description: partial 16S ribosomal RNA
Rfam family: Bacterial small subunit ribosomal RNA
Source: RNAcentral
CCUACGGGUGGCAGCAGUGAGGAAUAUUGGUCAAUGGGCGGGAGCCUGAACCAGCCAAGUCGCGUGAGGGACGACGGUCCUAUGGAUUGUAAACCUCUUUUGUCGGGGAACAAAAGAGGCCACGGGUGGCCGGCUGAGUGUACCCGAAGAAAAAGCAUCGGCUAACUCCGUGCCAGCAGCCGCGGUAAUACGGAGGAUGCGAGCGUUAUCCGGAUUUAUUGGGUUUAAAGGGUGCGUAGGCGGACGGUCAAGUCAGCGGUAAAAUUGCGGUGCUCAACGGCGUCGAGCCGUUGAAACUGGCAUUCUGGAGUGGGCGAGAAGUAUGCGGAAUGCGUGGUGUAGCGGUGAAAUGCAUAGAUAUCACGCAGAACUCCGAUUGCGAAGGCAGCAUACCGGCGCCCGACUGACGCUGAUGCACGAAAGCGUGGGUAUCAAACAGGAUUAGAUACCAGUGUAGUC